Erinaceus europaeus (western European hedgehog) is the source of this 439-nucleotide long non-coding RNA. RefSeq lists it as uncharacterized. The record is from RefSeq and is a predicted model, not a curated record. NCBI's taxonomy places the organism in Eukaryota, Metazoa, Chordata, Mammalia, Eulipotyphla, Erinaceidae. The transcript has 3 exons.
GAAAAAUCUGAUCUGUGUUUGACAUACUGAAAUAUUGAGUAGCUGAAUAGAAGAAAGAACAUGCAAAUAAGACAUAUACUACACAGUCAGAGGAAGCCAUCUCUCAGUGACAUUGAGGUGAGAAUCUUACAUCACACUAUGAAGACUAAUGAAAGAAUAAUAAAGGAAUGAUAGAAGAAAACUGUUGCCAUCAAGUUGCAGACACUACCAUGAUGCCAACCUGACUUCUCUGGGCAGAUGACUUCACCAAUGUGUCCUGGAACCCCACCUCCCCAGACUCUGAUCCCACUAGGGAAAGAUAUAAUUACAGAAAUCACACCUUCUGCCCACAUAAUGAUCCUGGGUCCAUACUCCAAGAGAGAUAAAAGAUAGGAAAGCUUCCAGUAGAGGGGAUGAGAUAUGGAAUUCUGGUGGGAAUUGUAUGGAUUUGUACCCCCUU